AUGACGUAAAUUCACAUCAAUAUUACGCCUUCUCGCUACAUUCAUUAGAAAGAGCAUCGUUUGAUAUACUCUUGGUAAAAAAAAUUAGCUCAAAACUCCCACAGCAAAGUUGUAAAAAGUGACAAUAAAGCCCGUAUAAAACGUUCGAAAAUCGGCGGCCAUUGCUUGAGCUAGCUCGAUUUGGAGAGCACUUAUGACGUCACUUCCCCAACAAGUCGGCUCAUUAAAUUCAGAACCAUUGGCAAAUAGAGGUGUAUACUUGGUGCCUGGCCUCCAAACAUCAAUAUGGAGCGGUUAAUUGGGAAGAAAGACGGGCCUGUUUUUAAAUUUGAUUACCUGACUGAGAUCUAGAAGAAACCUUCCGCAUUCUAAGCCCCUGGUAGCCGAAGAAAACCGCCUUGAAUUACGAGCGUCUGCUAUAAAAAGCGAUCAUCUGCCGACCACGUGCGUAAUUUCAACACGAAAGGAAUCAACAAGUCCACCUCUACAAGGGUACGACUCUUAACAAGAUAUCUUUUAGAUUGUUCUUGGGUUACUGUAGUGUGUCAGAAGUGUGUUGGCACAACUAUGCUCAUUACCUCUAAUCCCUCACUGCCUAAUACAGUUUACAGUUUGCAGCAAAAGUUUGGUUUUUUUUCAUUUUUUUUCAUUUUGGAAUAAGCACCGUUUUAAACUAUCUAAAAAUAGUUAGCUUGGAGGCUGUCACAAAAUAUUCUAAUGCAUGGGAAAUUAAAUAAAAUAUGGAACUAA
Long non-coding RNA from Nematostella vectensis (starlet sea anemone), 750 nucleotides. RefSeq lists it as uncharacterized. Lineage: Eukaryota; Metazoa; Cnidaria; Anthozoa; Actiniaria; Edwardsiidae. The record is from RefSeq and is a predicted model, not a curated record. The transcript is spliced from 2 exons.